Molecule: small RNA, 635 nt
Filed under: Pongo abelii (Sumatran orangutan)
Lineage: Eukaryota; Metazoa; Chordata; Mammalia; Primates; Hominidae
Description: retained intron
Source: RNAcentral
UUGUGCAGCACAACAUGGUGGGGACCUGGUGGGGCUGUGGCCUUGGCCUCUGGGUCAAUGGACGAUGCAGUUAUUGAUCGUUUAAGUGAGAUGGGCAGAUAGGGGUCUGUUAUAAGCAGAGGAAUAGAAUCAAGUUUUGUUUUGUAGCAGAGCUCCCUCAUAAGAGUCACUGGACAAGGAUGAGGUUAGAAGUUCUGCCCAGAAUGAGGGCAGGGGCUUCCUUCUUGGGCCAACUUCACUGCCUUGUGGCUGCAGGUGGACGUAUUGGUGACCACAGCUGGCGGCGUGGAGGAAGACCUCAUCAAGUGCCUGGCGCCCACGUACUUAGGCGAGUUUAGCCUCAGGGGGAAGGAGCUCCGGGAGAACGGGAUCAAUAGGAUCGGAAACCUGCUGGUGCCCAAUGACAAUUACUGCAAGUUUGAGGACUGGCUGAUGCCCAUUCUGGACCAGAUGGUGCUGGAGCAGAACACAGAGGUGGGGCUGGGGCAACCUGGAGGGGCCAGUCCAGUGGGAGUUAGGGGAGGCAUGGCCUGAAGCUCACAUCCUCUCCUAGGGUGUAAAGUGGACGCCUUCUAAGAUGAUCGCCCGUCUGGGCAAGGAGAUCAACAACCCAGAGUCCGUGUAUUACUGGGCCC